CGAUGAUACGCGAGGAACCUUACCUGGGCUCGAACGUAAGAUGACUGUAGGUGAAAGCUUACAUCUCUUCGGAGCAUUUACGAGGUGCUGCAUGGUUGUCGUCAGCUCGUGCCGUGAGGUGUCGGGUUAAGUCCCAUAACGAGCGCAACCCCUACCUUUAGUUGCCAUCAGGUUAAGCUGGGGACUCUAAAGGAACUGCCUACGCAAGUAGUGAGGAAGGCGGGGAGUGACGUCAAAUCAGCACGGCCCUUACGUCCAGGGCUACACACGUGCUACAAUGGCCGAUACAGAGGGCAGCUACCUGGUGACAGGAUGCAAAUCUCCAAAGUCGGUCUCAGUUCGGAUCGGAGUCUGCAACCCGACUCCGUGAAGUUGGAUUCGCUAGUAAUCGCGCAUCAGCCAUGGCGCGGUGAAUACGUUCCCGGGCCUU
RNAcentral lists this ribosomal RNA (430 nucleotides) under uncultured Sphingobacteriales bacterium. Its description in RNAcentral is "bacterial SSU rRNA". It matches the Rfam family "Bacterial small subunit ribosomal RNA", at positions 952 to 1382 of the family's 1533-position model. The record is from RNAcentral. Lineage: Bacteria; Pseudomonadati; Bacteroidota; Sphingobacteriia; Sphingobacteriales.